UAAAGGUUUGGUCCUAGCCUUCCCAUUAGCUAUUAACAAGAUUACACAUGUAAGUCUCCGCGCUCCAGUGAAAAUGCCCUUUGGAUCUUAAAGUGAUCUGAAGGAGCGGGCAUCAAGCACACCCCUCCCCGGUAGCUUAUAACGCCUUGCUCAGCCACACCCCCACGGGAUACAGCAGUGAUAAAAAUUAAGCCAUAAACGAAAGUUUGACUAAGCUAUGUUGAUUAAAGGGUUGGUUAAUUUCGUGCCAGCCACCGCGGUUAUACGAUUGACCCAAGUUAAUAGGCCCACGGCGUAAAGCGUGUGAAAGAAAAAAAUUUUUCCCCCAUUAAAGUUAAAGUUUAAUCAAGCUGUAAAAAGCUACCAAUAACACUAAAAUAGACUACGAAAGUGACUUUAAUACUCUCAACCACGCGACAGCUAAGAUCCAAACUGGGAUUAGAUACCCCACUAUGCUUAGCCUUAAACAUAAAUAAUUUAUCAAACAAAAUUAUUCGCCAGAGAACUACUAGCAACGGCUUAAAACUCAAAGGACUUGGCGGUGCUUUAAACCCCCCUAGAGGAGCCUGUUCUGUAAUCGAUAAACCCCGAUAGACCUCACCACCCCUUGCUAAUCCAGUCUAUAUACCGCCAUCUUCAGCAAACCCUUAAAAGGAAAAAGAGUAAGCACAAUCAUCUUGCAUAAAAAAGUUAGGUCAAGGUGUAACUCAUGGGAUGGGAAGAAAUGGGCUACAUUUUCUAUUCAAGAACAACCUACGAAAGUUUUUAUGAAACUAAAAACUAAAGGUGGAUUUAGUAGUAAACCAAGAAUAGAGAGCUUGGUUGAAUAAGGCAAUGAAGCACGCACACACCGCCCGUCACCCUCCUCAAGUGGCACAAGUCAAAUAUAACCUAUUAAAACCAAAUAAAACGCAAGAGGAGGCAAGUCGUAACAAGGUAAGCGUACUGGAAAGUGUGCUUGGAUAAAC
Molecule: non-coding RNA, 968 nt
Filed under: Ursus thibetanus ussuricus (Manchurian black bear)
Lineage: Eukaryota; Metazoa; Chordata; Mammalia; Carnivora; Ursidae
Description: 12S ribosomal RNA
Rfam family: Bacterial small subunit ribosomal RNA
Source: RNAcentral